Molecule: long non-coding RNA, 574 nt
Organism: Anthonomus grandis grandis
Lineage: Eukaryota; Metazoa; Arthropoda; Insecta; Coleoptera; Curculionidae
Exons: 3
Source: RefSeq, a predicted model, not a curated record
CCCUUUAACUCUGAGCCAUUAUUUACAAUUUAAUUGUUAAUUAUGCCUAAAAAAAUGAAUUGACAACUUUGGUAUUGUUUGGUAUAAACAGCUUAAUUCCUUUAUGUAAAGCCACCUUAACAUGUUUUUGCAUAAUUCUGACUCACGUUGGUUGCUAUCGGGCUUAAGCCAUAAAAAUCGAAGAAAAAAGAAGAAGACGCCCACUUUCACUUGUCAUUUCAAUGUCACUUUCCGGCCCACAAGCAUAAACGCCACCGGCAACGGGAGUUCCCAAAUCCAAACAAAGGUUGGAAGAUAUUUUUAAGUCUCCACAUCCUUCUUACUUUUCUAUAUGAAAAUAAAAUUGGACUACACCAACAAAGGUUAUGUGUUUUGCACCAGAUUGAAAGCAUCAUAGCGAAAAACGGACCUGUCAUUUCUUUAAAUUUCCAAAAGAGCCCCUGGAAAAAGAAAAAUUAAUAUCUCUGCUAAGGAAUACUAAGGCAAAUGGAUAAAAAACCUUCAGUCCAUGCAUUGGUAUGUAAUUAAUAUAAUAUUGACAAAACUACAAUGAAUGGCCUCACUACUUUUCCAC